Molecule: ribosomal RNA, 1618 nt
Filed under: uncultured fungus
Lineage: Eukaryota; Fungi
Description: eukaryotic LSU rRNA
Rfam family: Eukaryotic large subunit ribosomal RNA (bases 934-1618)
Source: RNAcentral
AAGUCGUAACAAGGUUUUCGUAGCAACAGUCUAUGGAGCGUCAGUAAUGAUUCUUCCGCAGAGUACACUUGCUGAAGCCUUAGUAGCCCGAGAGGGUUGCACACGCGACUGAAAAUAAAGAGGUGCAUUAAAUGCUAGUCUCAAUUCCGAGGCGGCACUAUCAAAUUGCGGGAACAUCCUGUUCAAGUCUUCACUACCGCGGCUCGCCGAAAGGCAGAGUGCAGCACCAAGGCUAAUGACCUCGGGGAUGGUAAAAACGUGAAGAAUAGGGACGAUCCGCAGCCAAGCGCUAAGUAUCCGCUGGAUAUAUGCGUGCAGUUCACAGGCCAAAUGGUAGUGUGCACUCCGGUGCUUAAGAUAUGGUCGAGUCCCAUUCGAAAGUCCGGGUAUGAGUACUCUUGCAGUCAAAACGUUCCGUAGGUGAACCUGCGGAAGGAUCAUUAAUGUGUCCCACUGGCUGUGCGCUCUCGCGGGCUGCACGCCGGUAAACACUUUUCCACACCUGUGCACCUUUUCGGUGGGGGGUUACUCCCUCAUCUGUAUCAUCACACAUCAGUCAGUCUUGAAUGUUAAAUCGAUAUCAAUACAACUUUCAGCAACGGAUCUCUAGGCUCUCGCAUCGAUGAAGAACGCAGCGAAAUGCGAUAAGUAAUGUGAAUUGCAGAAUUCAGUGAAUCAUCGAAUCUUUGAACGCACCUUGCGCUCCAUGGUAUUCCGUGGAGCACGCCUGUUUGAGUGUCACGUUAAUCAUCGUUCCGGAGACGUCAAACUCUUCGGCGCGGAUUUGGACGCUGCCGUAGUUGGCUCGUCUCGAAAUGCAUUAGCUGUCAAAGGACUCCAGAGCUACUGGUGUAAUACUUGUUGUUGCGCUGCCCGUUCUGUGCCUGGUCGAAAGCUCAUAAAUAGCCCGCGAGGNCAANUUUCUAAGACAAUUGNCCUCAAAUCAGGUGGGNCUNCCCGCUGAACUNAAGCAUAUCAAUAAGCGGNGGAAAAGAAACUAACANGGAUUCCCCUAGUAACGGCGAGUGAAGAGGGAAGAGCUCAAAUUUGUAAUCUGGCGNUCUUUGGCCGUNCGAGUUGUAAUUUAGAGAGGCGUUUUCCGCGUCGGACCACGCACAAGUCCCCUGGAAUGGGGCGUCAGAGAGGGUGAGAAUCCCGUUCUUGGCGUGGACUACCGAGGCUAUGUGAUGCGCCCUCGAAGAGUCGAGUUGUUUGGGAAUGCAGCUCAAAAUGGGUGGUAAAUUCCAUCUAAAGCUAAAUAUUGGCGAGAGACCGAUAGCGAACAAGUACCGUGAGGGAAAGAUGAAAAGAACUUUGGAAAGAGAGUUAAACAGUACGUGAAAUUGCUGAAAGGGAAACGCUUGAAGUCAGUCUCUUCGUUGCAGAUUCAGCCGGGCUUCUGUUCGGUGUACUUCUGCAGUGAGGGGUCAGCAUCAAUUUCGAGCGCUGGAAAAGGUUUCGAGGAAUGUGGCNCCNUCGGGUGUGUUAUAGACUCGGGUCAGAUUACAGUGCUUGGGAUUGAGGANNNCAGCGCGCCCACAAGGGUUGGGGCUUGCCCACAUUCGCGCUUAGGAUGCUGGCGUAAUGGCUUUAAGCGACCCGUCUUGAAACACGGACC